Molecule: ribosomal RNA, 774 nt
Filed under: uncultured Neocallimastigales
Lineage: Eukaryota; Fungi; Neocallimastigomycota; Neocallimastigomycetes; Neocallimastigales
Description: partial large subunit ribosomal RNA
Rfam family: Eukaryotic large subunit ribosomal RNA
Source: RNAcentral
CGCAUCUGUGCAUGCAGCAUAUCAAUAAGCGGAGGAAAAGAAACUAACAAGGAUUCCCCUAGUAACGGCGAGUGAAGCGGGAAGAGCUCAAAUUUGAAAUCUUAAAGGGUUUCCCUUUACGAAUUGUAGUUUAAAGAAGUGUUUUCUGUUGAGGUUUUGGUAAAAGUUCUUUGGAAUAGGACAUCAUAGAGGGUGAGAAUCCCGUAUUUGACCUUUACUUUCAACUUUGUGAUACACUUUCAAAGAGUCGGAUUGUUUGGGAAUGCAGUCCAAAAUGGGUGGUAAAUUUCAUCUAAAGCUAAAUAUUGGCGAGAGACCGAUAGCGAACAAGUACCGUGAGGGAAAGAUGAAAAGAACUUUGAAAAGAGAGUUAAACAGUACGUGAAAUUGUCAAAAGGGAAGCGUUUGACACCAGUGUUGUUUUUCUGAAAAUCAAUUAAAGAACUGUUUAUGCUAAGUUGUUUAGACUUUAUCAGCUAACUGUUUAGUUUUGAGCUUUUCUUUAAUGCACUUUUCAGUUAACAAGUCAACAUCAAUUUCUUUUGCUGUAAAAAAGCUUGAGGAGGGUGGCUUGAGAUUCGUCUUAAGUGUUUAUAGCCUCUUGCCUAUGCAGUCGGAGAGAUUGAGGUCUGCAGCGUAGAUCCUUCGGGGCUAAAUGCAUUUGUGCUAAGUUAUAACAUUUUAUAGACAACUUGUUGACUAUGAUUUGUCUUGUAGCUUACUCGCUUAUGUUAUUUUACCUACGCUUAGGAUGUUGAGCGCAUGUCUCUCUCU